RNAcentral lists this long non-coding RNA (508 nucleotides) under Moschus moschiferus (Siberian musk deer). RNAcentral's name for it is "lncRNA (ENSMMSG00000014373.1)". Lineage: Eukaryota; Metazoa; Chordata; Mammalia; Artiodactyla; Moschidae. The record is from RNAcentral.
GGGACCGCGGCGGGGGCGGGGGCGGCCAACCUCGCCUCCAGACCCCGCUGCGGCCCCGGAGUCACAGGCGCGCCUCCGCCUCCGGGGACUCUCCCGGGAGAGACCCGCGCGCUCCGGGCCUCGAGGAAGUGGCGGUUUCUGUUCCCACCUUCUGCUUUGCCUGCUUUGGUUGAGUUUGGGGACUCUACAAAUGGAAGAUUUGGAGACAAAAGUAUUUAGAAAAGAACUGUGCUUGAAAAAGAUCUGUUAAAAUCUCCACGUGCUAGAAGGACUACAUCAUCAAAAAUACAUGUAUCUAAAGAAUUUUGACAGUUGUAUUGCUGAGUGUCUACUUGCACAUCUGGUUUUGGCAACAUGGUGGACAAAGCUGAUAUGGAACAGAUCUGGAUAAAAAUGCCUAUAAAAGCUGGGUAAGUAAAUGAAUUAAAAAAAAGUCAUAAGUGAAAGAAAGGGUUGGGAAGACCCCUGGAGGAGGGCAUAGCAACCCACUCCAGUAUUCUUGCCUGGA